Molecule: non-coding RNA, 1795 nt
Organism: Ictidomys tridecemlineatus (thirteen-lined ground squirrel)
Lineage: Eukaryota; Metazoa; Chordata; Mammalia; Rodentia; Sciuridae
Source: RefSeq, a predicted model, not a curated record
CUAAGACAAUUCAAUGCUAGCAGACCUGCUCAAAAAGAAAUACUAAAGGAAGUUCCUCAAGCAGAAGGGAAAUGAUGUAAGGGAAAGCUGGAGCAUUAGAGUUGACAGAGGAACAAACACAUGUUUAGAUGAGAUCUUGGAACCUGGAAUCACACAGUCUCAGCUCCAGCAGGGCCUCUGGCAAGAACCCCAGUGUCUUCAGCUACAGACACCACCUCUGAGAAUGCCAAGAAAAGCAAACACAGGCCCCAGAUCUCCUGUUGCACCAACUGGAAAGAAGCCCACAGCAGCAGAGGAGCUGGGCUGUGUAGAUGGACACAACACAAUGCCUUUAUUUUUAUGAGGCAAAAUGGAGAUAAAGAAAAUAUCCUGCACAAUGAUGACAGAGUCUCAAUAUGGAGGAGCUUGGGUCCCUGAAUUACCAUGUGGAGGAAAGCCAAUACGCUGGCCAAAGUUUCCUACCAGGGCUAUUUCAAAAGCCCAAGUGAACAUUCUACUGUUGGAGCCAGUUUGUUCUAUUUAUCAUGUCAAUAAGUCUAUCCUCCCUGACAUAUUAGAAGAAAUAUAAUGUGUGGAGUUAGUGAAAUCAGGAAGACAUGUUUAGUCACCAGGACCCUGUGACAAAACAGAAAAACAAGGAGAGGAGAACUUCAGAAUUUUUUAGUGAGAAAUUGACCAAAAUGAGUUAAAGUUUUAGUAAAUCCAAACUGUGUGUGCAUCAUUCCUGAUUAUGAUGGUAACUGACGCCCUAUCUCAUAUUUUUAUAAUGAGAAAAUCACAUAAAAAUGAAGUAAACAGACAUUAGAAGUGUAGGGUGGGGUCUGGAAAGAUUGGUGCAGAAGAUGAGGUAAAACAGGAAAGAAGUUGAAGUCUUGUGUAAAGGGCUAAUCUGAGCCUGCGUCUUUGAGAUUUCCUUAGGAGUGCUGAGAGUUCAUUUCACAGCAGACUUAAGUGAGUGGAGAUAAUAAAUCUUACAAUGCUUCACCCAUCUUGCCUUCAUGGUUUGCACUGCUCUCAGGUGUGAAUGAGCUUGGAAGAGGGGGGCUCUCCUGGUGAUCUGUGGAAGUUGGCUCCGGAUGGUGGCUUUUGUGAAGGCUACUGCCUAAAGAGCAAUCCUUGCUCCAGAGGUUGGGGCCUGGAAAGGGGUAGUGAAAGUAGUUUUACUAUAAAUAAUUUAGUCACUCUCCAAUUCAAAGAUUUAAGGGACUUUUAAAAUUAUCUUUUUUUUUUUAAUCUUGAAACCAGCUCACUAAAUCUCUGUUUUAAUAGUCACAGUUAAAAUAAAGGGAAAGAAUUGUGUAAGAGAAAUCUUGUUUAAGGAUUGUAAAUCUUCAACUAUAUCCAUUUGGAAACACCAUCUUAACCUGUUUGUGUAUUGGCCAACUCAUGUUUUAGAAUAUGAAUUUCCUUUGCAGAUUUAUUCAUACGCUUUAGAGUAGACAAAUGCUGCACAUGAAUUAAAAUGGACUUAGGGACAGCUUAUUGGCUUCAUGUAGGUUCAAAAAUUUACUUUCUAGUCUUCAUUAUGGCUGCAGGUUUCAAUCACUGUUCCUCUCUAGUUAACUUAGCCUCUCCUUCUGAUGUCUUAUUUAUUUAUUUUUGUUUAAUAUUUGUUUAGUUGUCAAUGGAACUUUUAGCCAGAAAGCAUCAAUAAUGGGUCUCCAUGAAUCUGUAGUAUGGUUUGCUGCUGAUGUUACCUUCCUUGCUUGAUAAAAUUCUAACCAUUUAGCCACCAUUACUAUUGUUUCUAUCUUCUACAUAGGACUUGUAAAGAUUGUUCAAUAGGGGAUUGAAA